This 600-nucleotide ribosomal RNA is filed under the name uncultured bacterium. RNAcentral describes it as "bacterial SSU rRNA". It matches the Rfam family "Bacterial small subunit ribosomal RNA", at positions 8 to 592 of the family's 1533-position model. The record is from RNAcentral.
AGAGUUUGAUUAUGGCUCAGGAUGAACGCUAGCGACAGGCUUAACACAUGCAAGUCGAGGGGCAGCGGGGGAGGAAGCUUGCUUUCUCCCGCCGGCGACCGGCGCACGGGUGAGUAACACGUAUGUAACCUGCCCUCUGCCGGGGGAUAAGCGGAAGAAAUUCCGUCUAAUACCGCAUAACACACAUCCGGGGCAUCCCGGGGGUGUCAAAGGAGCAAUCCGGCAGAGGAUGGACAUGCGGCGCAUUAGCCAGUCGGCGGGGUAACGGCCCACCGAGGCGACGAUGCGUAGGGGUUCUGAGAGGAAGGUCCCCCACACUGGUACUGAGACACGGACCAGACUCCUACGGGAGGCAGCAGUGAGGAAUAUUGGUCAAUGGGCGGAAGCCUGAACCAGCCAAGUCGCGUGAGGGAAGACGGUCCUAUGGAUUGUAAACCUCUUUUGCAGGGGAGCAAGGCACGGUACGUGUACCGUGAAGGAGAGUACCCUGAGAAAAAGCAUCGGCUAACUCCGUGCCAGCAGCCGCGGUAAUACGGAGGAUGCGAGCGUUAUCCGGAUUUAUUGGGUUUAAAGGGUGCGCAGGCGGACUGUUAAGUCAGC